This is a long non-coding RNA of Neofelis nebulosa (Clouded leopard), 395 nucleotides long. RefSeq lists it as uncharacterized. NCBI's taxonomy places the organism in Eukaryota, Metazoa, Chordata, Mammalia, Carnivora, Felidae. The transcript has 2 exons. The record is from RefSeq and is a predicted model, not a curated record.
UGUCCACCUGCCUAGCCAAGGUUCACCUCGUUCUCCAGAGUUGUCCUCAGGAAUAGCCAGCAUUUCUCAGAGGACCUGACAGUGACACAGGCCCAGCGUUGGGGGGACAGGAGGUGAAGAGGUGCACGGACACAGAGAUACAUGGACAGAGCCGGGGCAGGCCGGUGGGCAGCAGAGUGCCCCCUCCUAAGUUCCAGGACACAAUCCCACACUCUUCCUGAACUCAGAACCUGUAAGUCCACAAGGAGAGACCAGCACCUGGCCUUGGCCUCUGAGUGCAGCUCAGUGUGAGGUCGAGAUCCCCGACCCCCCUGCGCCCACCCUGCGCCCAUCCUGCGCCCGGGGCAGGUCCUACGGGCAGAUACGAAAAGUGGAAAUAAACCUUCCCUGUUUCA